AAGGAUGCUGAAGCCUGAUUUAGUCUUUUUUGGUGAUCUCAUAAUACGAAUGCUACAGGACUGAAUUCCUUGUGUAUGGAAACACAGCCAACAAGAGACCCUGAAAUGCCCAAAAUUUCCAUGAUGAAAACAGAAAAAAAGUGACAGAGUACUAAACUGUUAGAAAUGGAAAAUCUAUAAACUAUUUGAAAAGUCAGACUUGUAUUGCCCCAAAACAUCUGUCUGUGUCAUGGGGAAAAAUGGUAAGUGAAUGCUGUGCACGCUGGGAAGCAAAGAGUAAACCAGGGAUACAAUACAUUUGAAAUCCAUGCUGGUCAGCUGAAAUGAUAAUUCUUGUUUUUAUAAAGAGAGCACACAAAUUUGUUUCUUUACAUUUAAAAGCAUAUACUUGUGACAGAGCAUUAAUCCACAGGGUCUGCAGCUUUGCUUGCUCGCUGUCACAAUGCAGAGCAAAGCAUGCCUUACAAAGGUUUGAUACUGACUGUCCUUUGAAUUUAAAUAUAAAUGCCCAUAGGUAUAUGCCCACAGAUUUGGCACUACUUUCAUUAAGCUGCCUCAAAAAACUGCAGCCUGGUGCUACACUGGCAGGCUCAUAGUGUGCCACUGCUACCCUCCAAAGAAACUCAGAGACCAGUACAGAAGGGCUCAGGCCACAUUUGUCCUUCUGUAGCCUGCUGUAGCUUUCUUCUCAGUGAGCUACUCAGUGAGGACAAACAGCUGGACCUUCAUCUAAACAUGUAAGCAGAGAAUAAUCCUUUACAUCUUUAGCACAAUCAGCUAUCUUGUGUGUUGGAAGACAAUCUGCGUGCCAUGUUAAGAAGCAAAAGCUUAUUAAAGUUGACCUCAUCAUUUAUAUACUUGUACAUUUAAGUGAAUACGUAGUGGAUCACAUUCCUGUUGCUUUGCUUGUUGAAACUGCAGUCCCCUGAGAUGCGAGGGCACAGCAGCUGGCACAGCCCUUCCACUACGACAGGAAAAAUGGAAAUAAGCCACAGGCAGACAGCACUCCAGAUGGAAAGGGUCAGCAGUGGAAAGCUGAGUUCGAAACCUAUUGAUCCCAGCAGCCCUUGCAUUGAAACACAAAUGAACAUAGAGUAUGAACAAAAGAUCUAAACCAUCUAAAGUGCAUGACAUGUAUGCAGAUACAUUUGCAAGUGAUGCCACUGGACAUUGCUGAACACAGCAACGCACAAAUAGGAUUCAGCAGCUGCUCCCUUCCUGCUCUGUACAGAUAACUAGGUUUCAUGCAUGUGGCAGCUUCUAUCAUUUUCUGUCCAAAUCUGGGGGAGGGAAGGAUACAGAAGAUAGGAGGAAGCAAUAUUUUAUAUUGCUAUCUAGCCAGCUUCUCAGAAACACUGAAGAAAUGGUGUUAACACAAUUCUGAAACUGCUGCUCAGCUGAGAGGAAGCAUGACGCCCAAAGAACCUCUUGGGGAGAAGUGGGUGAAGGUGUGCAGAUAUGACUUCUGAAGAUGAAGAAUACAGUACUUCUCUUUUUUAUUCAUAAACCAAAUAAAUUUUAUUUUGAGGCUUUGAAAAUGUAAAAAAAUCUACCCCUUCUUAAAUCAAAAGGUGCGUAUCAGGUGACUAAAGUAAACAUGAUAAUUAAAAGGAAUAAAAAUAGUUGGAAUGUUUUUGUAAUUGCUCCAUAGUCAUUGUUAGGCUUUCCUGAUUAAUGCAGUUAGAAACCUUGAGCUAAAAGCAUUUAG
Long non-coding RNA from Motacilla alba alba, 1708 nucleotides. RefSeq lists it as uncharacterized. The transcript is spliced from 3 exons. The record is from RefSeq and is a predicted model, not a curated record. Lineage: Eukaryota; Metazoa; Chordata; Aves; Passeriformes; Motacillidae.